CGGCGAGUGAACAGGGAAAAGCCCAGCACCGAAGCCUGUGGUCGUUUGGCCAUAAGGCAAUGUGGUGUUCAGGUCAUUCCGCAAAGAUGCUGCUCCACCCUAAGUCCAUUAAUGAGUACGGUUUAUGGACCUGGCCCACGGAGGGUGAAAGGCCCGUGUGGGUGGAGACCAGGUAGGCCAGUGUCUUUCUGGAGAAUUGACCUUGGAGUCGGGUUGUUUGUGAAUGCAGCCCAAAGUGGGUGGUAAACUCCAUCCAAGGCUAAAUACAUACACGAGUCCGAUAGCGAACAAGUACCGUGAGGGAAAGUUGAAAAGUACUUUGAAGAGAGAGUAAACAGUGCGUGAAACCGGUCAGAGGUAAACGGGUGGAGUUGAACUGCAAGCUCUGAGAAUUCAGCUGGUGAGUAUGGUUUAAGCUUGGUUAAGAUGGUUGUUUCACGGAGUCUGCGUAGCAGCAGGCCUUUGCCUUUCGGGGUGGAGGUGCGCGUUGCACUUAUCAAGUGUUGUGCGCUCUGUGUUCGCCGGACCAAUUCGCCAGUGCACUUUUUCAGAGUAGUCACCACGACCGGCAUUGCUGUCUGGCUGGUGCGGUUAAACCGGCCUUGCAUUUCCCUUGUGGUUUUGCUUGGUCGGGAUGGCAGGUAGCUCGUUGGCUAGCUUGUGGUUCGCUGCAGGCAUCGGUCUUCGGGUGUAAUCAGCUUACCGUAUCGGUUCUGUGCAGUGUGUCGAGAUGGCGGCUUGUGUGUGCGUGCGUGCCAUGUUGGCCGACGUGUUCGAGUUCUGGUUGUUUUGUUGCCUGAAUGCAGGCCUGAUGAUGACUCGGAUGCGUUGUGUUGACGGUUGCGUGUGUGACACGUUAUGAGCCAAAAGUCUGUGGUGUAGUGGUAGACUAUCCACCUGACCCGUCUUGAAACACGGACCAAGGAGAGUAACAUGUGCGCGAGUCAUUGGGCGUUACGAAACCCAAAGGCGAAGUGAAAGUGAAGGUUUGGCUUGUCCAGACUGAGGUGAGAUCCUGUCGUUUCUCAUGCGCGGUACCACCAAGCUUCGAGCGGCAGGCGCAUCACCGGCCCGUCCCAUGACAAUUGUUUUCGAUCAUUACCCAGUCGGGGCGGAGCAUGAGCGUACAUGUUGAGACCCGAAAGAUGGUGAACUAUGCUUGUGCAGGUUGAAGCCAGAGGAAACUCUGGUGGAGGACCGAAGCGGUUCUGACGUGCAAAUCGAUCGCCAGACGUGAGUAUAGGGGCG
RNAcentral lists this ribosomal RNA (1248 nucleotides) under Microphallus basodactylophallus. RNAcentral describes it as "eukaryotic LSU rRNA". It matches the Rfam family "Eukaryotic large subunit ribosomal RNA", at positions 87 to 925 of the family's 3401-position model. Lineage: Eukaryota; Metazoa; Platyhelminthes; Trematoda; Plagiorchiida; Microphallidae. The record is from RNAcentral.